UGUACUACCGAUAACCGUUUGAGAGAAGGGAUGACACAGUAGGAUAAGCUAAGCACACUGUUGGUUAUGUGUGCCCAAGCAUUGAGGCAGUCAAAGUAGGUAAAUCCGCUUUGAUAAUGCUGGGAUGUGAUGGGGAGCGAAAUUUAGUAGCGAAGUAGCUGAUUUCACACUGUCAAGAAAAGUCUCUAUCGAGGUUAAAGGU
This 202-nucleotide ribosomal RNA is filed under the name Clostridioides difficile. Its description in RNAcentral is "partial 23S ribosomal RNA". It matches the Rfam family "Bacterial large subunit ribosomal RNA", at positions 1440 to 1639 of the family's 2925-position model. Lineage: Bacteria; Bacillati; Bacillota; Clostridia; Peptostreptococcales; Peptostreptococcaceae. The record is from RNAcentral.